UUUCUAGGUCUUUAGGGAUUUUACACUGCGUAUCUGGAAAAACAAGUCACCGUUUAAACACUAAGUCUACAGCUUGAAAGGUUUACAGUCAUUUUGCCUUCAGGCUGGCAUGUGUUGUCUGUGAAUGGCCUGGAAAGUAACAUUUUCUGUAGACGUCAGCUUCUCUCUGGUUUGAUGCCCCAUUCUUCUGCUGAUGCCACAUGCACUGCUGAUUAGUAUGGGGAAAUGGAAGAGGUCUCUUGAAAUAAGGUAGGUUUCUUUCUUUUCUACAAGGGCAUGGCUUGAUUAUCAUGUUCAUAAUUACUUUUCUAUUUAAAAUAAAUGAAGUCAAACA
This 334-nucleotide long non-coding RNA is filed under the name Calidris pygmaea (Spoon-billed sandpiper). RNAcentral's name for it is "lncRNA (ENSCPGG00000016455.1)". Lineage: Eukaryota; Metazoa; Chordata; Aves; Charadriiformes; Scolopacidae. The record is from RNAcentral.